UAAUACGGAGGGUGCAAGCGUUGUCCGGAUUCAUUGGGUUUAAAGGGUGCGCAGGCGGGACAUUAAGUCAGGGGUGAAAGACGGUUGCUCAACAAUCGCAGUGCCUUUGAUACUGGUGUUCUUGGGUAACCUUGAGGUAGGCGGAAUGGGUGGUGUAGCGGUGAAAUGCAUAGAUACCACCCAGAACUCCGAUUGCGAAGGCAGCCUACUGGAGGUCAACCGACGCUCAGGCACGAAAGCGUGGGGAUCAAACAGGAUUAGAUACCCUGGUAGUCCACGCCGUAAACGAUGAUCACUCGCUGUGGGGGCGCAUGCUUCCGCGGCUUAGCGAAAGCGUUAAGUGAUCCACCUGGGGAGUACGCUCGCAAGGGUG
RNAcentral lists this ribosomal RNA (373 nucleotides) under uncultured bacterium. Its description in RNAcentral is "bacterial SSU rRNA". It matches the Rfam family "Bacterial small subunit ribosomal RNA", at positions 521 to 896 of the family's 1533-position model. The record is from RNAcentral.